Daktulosphaira vitifoliae (grape phylloxera) is the source of this 4001-nucleotide long non-coding RNA. RefSeq lists it as uncharacterized. The transcript has 3 exons. NCBI's taxonomy places the organism in Eukaryota, Metazoa, Arthropoda, Insecta, Hemiptera, Phylloxeridae. The record is from RefSeq and is a predicted model, not a curated record.
GGACACCUGUAAAAGUAAAAAGCUGUUAAUACUUUUGUAGUUUAAAAGGUUUUUAACAUAAUAACUACAAUUAAAAAUUAUAUAAUAACUAUCAAAUAUAAAUAUUAAAAAUUGACGUAAUAUUAUUGUAAAAAAAAAAAACUUAUAAAACUAUUACAUAUUUAAAAAGGUACAUAAAAAUCAUUCUAGGUCUAUUAUUUACAUUUGUUAGUCAAAGUAUUAAGUCAACUAAUACCCAAGUUUUCCUAACUAAAUUGUAAUGGUACAGUUUAGACGAAAUGUUGUAAAUGUACUAUUAUUGUAUGAUUACUCAUAUUAUUGUAUAAUAUGCGGCAACAUCGUGUGGGACUUUUGCAUUCGCGUUAUGUGGUGGCGGCGCUGGAAAAAUGUUGUCAUGCCUAACAAAGUGAUAAGAAGAUAAUAUAGUUGGUUGGUUAUGUUUUAAAAGAAAUGAAAUAUAAAAAAUGAUAUCUGAUUAUUAAAAAAUGAACACGUUGUUUUUUCUUUUCUCUUUAAAUAAAAACUAACUAGUAACCAUAAGAUUUUUCAUGAGGAAUAAAAUGGAAAUAUCAACAAACAAUGUUUGAGAGAACAGCGAAUAAAUACACACAAAUGUCAACUAUAUUAAAACUCCUACAUCAACGAACAAUUCAGCACCAAUACAACUGAAAUUAAGAGAUCGUGAGGGUAAUAUAACACAACAGAAACUUUGUAUUCAGAUGGCAAGACGACGCCACCGACGUUUUUCAGAGCAUAUGGUCCCGUUUGCCUCAGGAGGAACACGUAUACAAUGAUCAAAGACCGAUUGAUAGACACAGAAACAAAUUCACGUACUCACUCCCUUCAUUGUCGGUCAUUUUAGAAUAAUCUGCGCGUAUCUCACUGUGUAUAUAUUUUCCAUAUAAGGUUUAUCUUCUUCACCGUGUCCUAUGUUCAGAAUUUACUGACAUAUUUUUUCAUUUAUUACUCGUCGUUUUUUCCAAAUCCUAAUAUUAACAUGUUUAGAAAUUUCUUUUAUAGUUUUUUUGAUUACGGACAAUAUUUUAUUUGAAGUAUCAGACUCGUAUCGUUAAGUGUAAAAUGAUUAAUAUUAAAACAAUAUAAUGACAGUUUGCAUCAAGUGUUAGGAAGUCGUGUUGAAAAUUACAUCUAAUAAAACUUCAAAUUAGAAAAUGUAUAGUAUGAGAUGAAACUAUCAUAUAGUUAUAAUUGAAGAAGUCCUUAGAUUCAAUUUUUAAAUAUAUAUAUAUAAGUGUAAAUAGUCUUGUUAAACAUUUUCCGAUAAAACAUUGUCUGCUAAUUUUGCUUGUUUUCUUUGUUAUUCUCUACGCAGAUAAUGUUUUUUACUGUUGUUUAUUUGGGACUCAAAUAAGAAGCAUCGAGUAGAAUACAAAAAUAAUUAUCUUGAAAGUAAAACUUUAAAAUGCGCACAAAGACAUCUUUUGUAAUGUUUUUAACGCCUUCGCCAAAUUUCUGUUGAAUAGAAUGGAACAAGUUUCAUUAUACUUUUAGUUGUAUUACACUCUAAGUAAUUAUCGGAAGAAAUAAUAUUUAUAUAUUUCAUAAUUCAUUCAUUUCAAUAAUUGUUGUACUCACAAAAAAUUAAGUAUGAGAAAGAGCCUUUAUAUGUGUUAUUAAUAAACAAUAAGCUAACUAAAAAUAACCAAAUAAGGUUGAUCUACAAAUUGUAAAUUUUAUUAUUUUGUUUAUUUUUAACUUAUGUAGACCUUACCAUUUGUAUUUCUAUUUAACUUUUAUGUUUAACUAUAUAAAUUAUAACAAUGUUAGUAAUGUAAAUUCUAUUAUCCACACAUUGUACUGUUUUGUAGGUAAUAUGUUAAUACAUACUUACACAAGUGUCCCAAUUGUUAGUACAUAUAUCUAUAAAAGCAGCUGUAUACAUAUUGUAUUGUUAUUAUAGUAAUAAUAUGUUACAACGGUUCAAAUUAAACAGAUUACAGGAGUCUGCAAAAUCUUAGACAUAUAUAUUUGCUUUUGUUCCUAUCUUUUACAGCUUUGAGCAUGGAAAUUGAAAAAUACCCUCUACAUACACAGCUUUUUUAGUGCGUUUUUAUUCUUAUAAUACGAUAGUGUACUAUUAACUGGCUUUUGUCAACAUAUUUUUUAUAUAAUUUUUAUUUGAAAACAAUUGAAAUUGUAAAUUUUAAAUGAAAACAACAAGUAAAUUCGAUUAUUAUCAAGUUAUUAUUGAUGUUGUUUGCGAAACAUAUGGCUGAAGUGCGUUAAGAUAAAGAUGAAAGUUUUCCCGCAGUUACUUACCAUAAACCAAGGAAUUGAUCGUACCCAUUAACGCGUUUUGUGAUAAAUCACAGGUACACUUGCCCGUUAGUGCCACAGAAGCAGAACACAAUGUGUACGCUUGUAAUUGUUUUUAUGAACCACGUUGUAUUUCUAUUUUGUGAAUUUGCAUUUGAUUUAAUAUCCUAAUAUUUAAACUAAAUCUAUUGAUUUAUAUCGUUUAAAUGAAUUCUAUUUUUUGUUUGUGAAGUGUCAACUUUGCGCUAAAAAUAUUGCGUUAUUAAUAGGAACUUUUUGUAAUUAAAAUGCAAGUCUGACACACUAGUACUCAAGUUUCAUAUUUAUGUUCUCCGAGAUACACGACUCUCGCAACCUACACAAAAUUACUGAAUCGAUAAAGACGAUUAGGCAAGACACUAGAAAUAUUGUUUAACUAAACUAGUUGUGGAAUGAGUUGAACGACUGUCCCAUAUCCUCACACGUGAAUGUAUCAAUGCAAUAUCAGAACAAGCUUCAAUUAGAGUGAUAAACAUAUUGCACAUGAUUUAGGAGUCUAUAAAAUAAAUCACAUAAAUGAAGAACACGUAUGAAAUAUAUGAAAAUUAAACACGCGGUCGGUAAUUGAAACAGCUUUUGUAUAUACUCAAGAAAACAAGUAGAAAAUUAUUAAUACACACAAAAACCUCAUGUGUGAAUUAAAUUAUAGGAAUAACGAAAAUUUUGAACCAAAAAUAUGAUCUUGUAUUCAAACAUCGUCAAUUGGAAAUCUACAUAUUUUUGCAUUUUUUAACGUUAUCCUCUUUGAGUUUAACAUUUAUCAAUAAUGAAAUGAUGAAUUCGCACGCUUCGAUUUCAAAAGAGACGAAAACAAUUGUUUUUUUAUUUUUGUAUUCAAAGCCCCAGGUGGUUUUUACCGAGUAAAGCGGAACUCGGUGUGUAUGAGGGUCGUCAGCUUUAUUAUUGCAUGUAUAUUACAUUUAACAAUAUAGUGGUUGGAAAAACAACCGUCGAAUAAACGAUUUUGAUUCCACGAGUUAGUACAAAACGCUAUCUCUGGACAUUAUGCAAAUGACCGCUGACAAUCGGUAGAAAUAAUAUUUUUGAAAACGACGUUGUUACGCCCAAGUAAUGUAUGUACAUAAUACCGUGGCCAGUUAAAGAGUGUUCUUGCUGUGUAUUCGAAGAAAUGCGCGACUGUUUUAAACGUUAUUUUUAUUCCGAUAGCCUCCGGGAGACCGACGGUAAAGGGUUUUUUUUUGUUUGCCAAAAGAAUAUCAUGACAAACCCGGCCCCACCUCAAUAUGCUAAUAUUUGCAUUUUUUUACUCUUGGGAAAUUCAAGAGGGUGCAAUAAAAUAACAAUAGUCGAAUGGAAUCGCUGCAACGGAUCUUUAGGCAAACAAAUACACUAAGGGAGCACGUGCUAAACUGUAAGCUGUACUGGAAAAUAAAAUCGCAACACUCGCAGGAUGCCAAAUAACGAAAUGAAUAACGAUUCUCGGUAUGACUCUAAACUGCAAUUUGGUCGGUAAAUAUUUUGUAUUUCUGUUAAACUCAAACCGAUGUGCUAUAUCGUGUAGAUGGCGAAUUAAAAAAUAAAAUAAACCAACCGAAUGAUCCGUAGCCUGCAUAAAAGAUUACCCCUAGAAAAGGGUUAGAGAUAUCCGGUUACACACAAUGGGCGUGAAAUGAUUUUACGCAUACUAUAUAUUAGGUACACCGUUGUUCAAAACAAACAAGCUA